Molecule: ribosomal RNA, 436 nt
Filed under: uncultured bacterium
Lineage: Bacteria
Description: partial 16S ribosomal RNA
Rfam family: Bacterial small subunit ribosomal RNA
Source: RNAcentral
UAGGGAAUCUUCCACAAUGGACGCAAGUCUGAUGGAGCAACGCCGCGUGAGUGAAGAAGGUUUUCGGAUCGUAAAGCUCUGUUGUUGGUGAAGAAGGAUAGAGGCAGUAACCGGUCUUUAUUUGACGGUAAUCAACCAGAAAGUCACGGCUAACUACGUGCCAGCAGCCGCGGUAAUACGUAGGUGGCAAGCGUUGUCCGGAUUUAUUGGGCGUAAAGCGAGCGCAGGCGGAAUGAUAAGUCUGAUGUGAAAGCCCACGGCUCAACCGUGGAACUGCAUCGGAAACUGUCAUUCUUGAGUGCAGAAGAGGAGAGUGGAACUCCAUGUGUAGCGGUGGAAUGCGUAGAUAUAUGGAAGAACACCAGUGGCGAAGGCGGCUCUCUGGUCUGCAACUGACGCUGAGGCUCGAAAGCAUGGGUAGCGAACAGGAUUAGAU